This 235-nucleotide ribosomal RNA is filed under the name uncultured Staphylococcus sp. RNAcentral describes it as "partial 16S ribosomal RNA". It matches the Rfam family "Bacterial small subunit ribosomal RNA", at positions 105 to 334 of the family's 1533-position model. The record is from RNAcentral. Lineage: Bacteria; Bacillati; Bacillota; Bacilli; Caryophanales; Staphylococcaceae.
GGUGAGUAACACGUGGAUAACCUACCUAUAAGACUGGGAUAACUUCGGGAAACCGGAGCUAAUACCGGAUAAUAUUUUGAACCGCAUGGUUCAAAAGUGAAAGACGGUCUUGCUGCCACUUAUAGAUGGAUCCGCGCUGCAUUAGCUAGUUGGUAAGGUAACGGCUUACCAAGGCAACGAUGCAUAGCCGACCUGAGAGGGUGAUCGGCCACACUGAAACUGAGACACGGUCCAG